This 87-nucleotide transfer RNA is filed under the name Hymenobacter aranciens. Its description in RNAcentral is "tRNA-Ser". It matches the Rfam family "tRNA". From Rfam's summary of the family: Transfer RNA (tRNA) molecules are approximately 80 nucleotides in length. The record is from RNAcentral. Lineage: Bacteria; Pseudomonadati; Bacteroidota; Cytophagia; Cytophagales; Hymenobacteraceae.
AGAGAGGUGGCAGAGUGGUCGAAUGCGGCGGAUUCGAAAUCCGCUAUACGGGCAACCGUAUCGGGGGUUCGAAUCCCUUCCUCUCUG